UACGUAGGGUGCAAGCGUUGUCCGGAAUUAUUGGGCGUAAAGAGCUCGUAGGCGGUUUGUCGCGUCUGCUGUGAAAUCCCGAGGCUCAACCUCGGGCCUGCAGUGGGGUACGGGCAGACUAGAGUGCGGUAGGGGAGAUUGGAAUUCCUGGUGUAGCGGUGGAAUGCGCAGAUAUCAGGAGGAACACCGGUGGCGAAGGCGGGUCUCUGGGCCGAUACUGACGCUGAGGAGCGAAAGCGUGGGGAGCGAACAGG
Molecule: ribosomal RNA, 254 nt
Filed under: uncultured bacterium
Lineage: Bacteria
Description: partial 16S ribosomal RNA
Rfam family: Bacterial small subunit ribosomal RNA
Source: RNAcentral